Molecule: ribosomal RNA, 450 nt
Filed under: uncultured bacterium
Lineage: Bacteria
Description: partial 16S ribosomal RNA
Rfam family: Bacterial small subunit ribosomal RNA
Source: RNAcentral
GUGGGGAAUUUUGGACAAUGGGGGCAACCCUGAUCCAGCCAUGCCGCGUGCGGGAAGAAGGCCUUCGGGUUGUAAACCGCUUUUGUCAGGGAAGAAAUCCUUUGGGUUAAUACCUCGGAGGGAUGACGGUACCUGAAGAAUAAGCACCGGCUAACUACGUGCCAGCAGCCGCGGUAAUACGUAGGGUGCGAGCGUUAAUCGGAAUUACUGGGCGUAAAGCGUGCGCAGGCGGUUUUGUAAGAUCGAUGUGAAAUCCCCGGGCUCAAACUGGGAACUGCAUUGGUGACUGCAAGGCUGGAGUGCGGCAGAGGGGGAUGGAAUUCCGCGUGUAGCAGUGAAAUGCGUAGAUAUGCGGAGGAACACCGAUGGCGAAGGCAAUCCCCUGGGCCUGCACUGACGCUCAUGCACGAAAGCGUGGGGAGCAAACAGGAUUAGAUACCCGAGUAGUCC